GGGUGGAAGCCAGCGAGAGCCAUCUUGACUCUCUCCCUCUGCUUUCUUUUCUUUCUUUCUCUUUCUUUUUUUUUUUCUUUCUUUCUUUUUCUUUCUUUUCUUAUUAAACUCAAAAACAAAUGGAGACCAGCCUUAAGAAGUCCCUGAAGACCUCCAGUUAUGGAAUGAAUGAGUCACAGGGAUAAAAGUUCAAGGCAUCAGAAAUGGGAUCCAAAGAAGACCCUUCAAUGACUCCAAGGCCAGUGAGCAAAAAGGUGAUAGUAUCCACAGAGAGCAUUGAGCUCAGUGUUUCUUAUUCCCCUUGGAGUUUGAGGGAGAAAGAAUGCCUACCUCCCUCAUAGAGCUGUUGUGUGAAUCAAACAGGACACUCCAUUUAAAGCACUAAGAGCAACACCUGGGCCGUGGUUAGGAGAGAAGCAGGGCAUGUCUAAAAGGUGAACAAUCAUGAAAAACCAAGAAGGGUCCUUAGGAAAAUCUCCUGAGCAUAAGUAAUCCUGAUUUCUUUUGUUUUAUUAGUUCAAUGACUAUAUAGCGAGACUCUGCUAAUAUUGAUAAUAUAUCAAUUAUUAACAGGAAUUCCUAAUAAUAGGAAUACAAAGCUAAGUAAGACAUGGUCCUUGCCUUCAAGGAGUUCACAGUCUAAUGGGGAAAUCAAUUAAGCAGAUAACAAUGUGAUGU
Molecule: long non-coding RNA, 678 nt
Organism: Lutra lutra (Eurasian river otter)
Lineage: Eukaryota; Metazoa; Chordata; Mammalia; Carnivora; Mustelidae
Exons: 4
Source: RefSeq, a predicted model, not a curated record